RNAcentral lists this ribosomal RNA (496 nucleotides) under uncultured Streptococcus sp. RNAcentral's name for it is "bacterial SSU rRNA". It matches the Rfam family "Bacterial small subunit ribosomal RNA", at positions 28 to 508 of the family's 1533-position model. Lineage: Bacteria; Bacillati; Bacillota; Bacilli; Lactobacillales; Streptococcaceae. The record is from RNAcentral.
GACGAACGCUGGCGGCGUGCCUAAUACAUGCAAGUAGAACGCUGAAGGAGGAGCUUGCUUCUCCGGAUGAGUUGCGAACGGGUGAGUAACGCGUAGGUAACCUGCCUGGUAGUGGGGGAUAACUAUUGGAAACGAUAGCUAAUACCGCAUAAUAACAGUUGUUGCAUGACAACUGUUUGAAAGGUGCAAUUGCACCACUACCAGAUGGACCUGCGUUGUAUUAGCUAGUUGGUGGGGUAACGGCUCACCAAGGCGACGAUACAUAGCCGACCUGAGAGGGUGAUCGGCCACACUGGGACUGAGACACGGCCCAGACUCCUACGGGAGGCAGCAGUAGGGAAUCUUCGGCAAUGGACGGAAGUCUGACCGAGCAACGCCGCGUGGGUGAAGAAGGUUUUCGGAUCGUAAAGCUCUGUUGUAAGAGAAGAACGAGUGUGAGAGUGGAAAGUUCACACUGUGACGGUAUCUUACCAGAAAGGGACGGCUAACUACGUGC